CAGAUCAUUGCUUCUGUCGCUUAGAAAAAAAGUCAUAUUAAUAUAUCAAUAUGACACUUUUUUUCUAAGCGACAGAAACAAUGACCUG
RNAcentral lists this microRNA precursor (88 nucleotides) under Megaselia scalaris. Its description in RNAcentral is "microRNA mir-315". The record is from RNAcentral. Lineage: Eukaryota; Metazoa; Arthropoda; Insecta; Diptera; Phoridae.